Long non-coding RNA from Rhinolophus ferrumequinum (greater horseshoe bat), 1393 nucleotides. RefSeq lists it as uncharacterized. The transcript is spliced from 4 exons. Lineage: Eukaryota; Metazoa; Chordata; Mammalia; Chiroptera; Rhinolophidae. The record is from RefSeq and is a predicted model, not a curated record.
AAGGAGCCAGCAACAGGAACAAAAACAGAGAUAAGCAAACGAAGUUAUCGGUAAAGAGCAGCUGGCUACAUACAGGCCAAGCCAGCUCAACUGAGCCCAGCAGGUCUCUAGGCUGCUCUGAGGAGGCGGCAGCCACAGAAGAUUGAGACAGCGCGUCCUUCCACGUACCAAGGCACCCUCGCGUUUUGUUUGUAACUCGCAGGAACACGCAUUCACGCGCUCCCCGUCACGUCACGUGUGCACUCAGCACAGCUGUGCGGGCUCCCAGCUGGAAUCACCUUUCAGAAACUCCGCACUCUGCCCUCCUGUGAACAAGAGGCUGCCCCCACCUGCCCACAUCCCUGCGAAGCCUUGGCUUCGGGGGUCUGCCAGCCAGCAGGGCACAACAUGGGCAUGCAAGCUGGAAGCUCAGCCCAGAAACAGCUUUUUGUGAUGGUGGCCGCGUCUGUCUCCCAGUGACUGACGGAAAGAGGCCGCCGUCUUCCCCUCCCGUGAGCCGCAGACGGAUGAACGAUCGUGGACACCCUUCUGGAGCUACCAAAAUAACUCCUUCCACACGGCCUCCUUCUAGAAGAUUUUCUCAUGAUGCGAUCCAACCCCAAAUUCACCAAGAAGGCUAGAUUUGGAGAAGUUUCCUGAGGCCAUGCAAGACCAGGCAGUAUUUCUCCGCCACAACCAGCCCCCACUGAGUAAAAAUACCAUUUGGGAUAUAUGAUAGGAUAUAUGUCACCAGAAACAACACUACAUUCCAAAUGCCAGCUCAGCACUCCAACCUCCCUCCCCCAUUGGCCCCUCAUGAGGCAAACAGGUUAGGGAGGCAGGAAGGACAGAGCUAAGUGGAGAACUGCUCUGGCGACAGUGAGGACCUCCCCGGGCCGCAGAGGUGACCGCCCCCGCGGCCCCUUCUGAGGAAGCUGGCCCACCCACCACUCUGCUGACAGGGUGCGAAGCAGCCAAGCUUAAUGCACCCAGCGGCGUCCUCAGCGCAAUAGUCUUCUCAGCUUCCUCAUUUCAGCAACGGGCCCCAGGGCUCAGGCCAAUACCUCCGCCAUCCUUAGUUCCUUUUCUUUUUUCACCCCGCAUGUCCAAUCCAUCAGCACGUUCAAAACCCCCCUGAACCACCCACUUCUCAUCACCUCCCGCGACCAUCCUCGUCAAGGGGUCCCCCAGCUUCCACUCUUGGCCUCCUAUGGACGAGGCUCCCCCGAGCAGCCUUAACAAGCCGUCUUCCCCAGGGCAAUGAGCGUAGUCUCCUAACUUGGCACCAUGGCCGACCAGGGCCCUGCCCUCUUCAGGCUUUCCACGCCUCUCCCCUGCCCUCAACAUUGUAGCCAUGCUUUGCUGGCCUUCUGUCCAGCCCUGGACGGUGCCAAGUUCAUCCACCUGGGGCCUC